This 207-nucleotide ribosomal RNA is filed under the name uncultured bacterium. RNAcentral's name for it is "partial 16S ribosomal RNA". It matches the Rfam family "Bacterial small subunit ribosomal RNA", at positions 568 to 774 of the family's 1533-position model. The record is from RNAcentral.
CGCGUAGGCGGUAAUGAAAGUCAGAUGUGAAAUACUUCGGCUCAACUGAAGAACUGCAUCUGAAACUUCAUAACUAGAGUACGGAAGAGGGAAAUGGAAUUCCCGGUGUAGAGGUGAAAUUCGUAGAUAUCGGGAGGAACACCAGUGGCGAAGGCGAUUUCCUGGUCUGGUACUGACGCUGAGGCGCGAAAGUGUGGGGAGCAAACA